GGAAGAAGAAGAAGAAGAAGAAUGCUCAUUCAUCUCCCAAUUCUUAUGAUCCACCUUUUCUUCCAAAAAUGGUGAUCUUGUUCCAUCUUCCUCCAUGCUUAUUGUUCCUACAAAACUACUUCAGUAAACAUCGAGAAGAUAAAAUAAAUAGAGAUACACAGAAAGCAAUGAUUUCAAGACCGUUUGGUGGACCAAAGAGCACGUUUCAGCAAAUCCUCCCAACUACCCUGCACUGCAACAGACCUUAUCCUUUGGGACACUAUUGAUUUCUGAUUAUUUGAAAGUGCUAUGCGUUUCAAG
Molecule: unclassified non-coding RNA, 300 nt
Filed under: Hevea brasiliensis (rubber tree)
Lineage: Eukaryota; Viridiplantae; Streptophyta; Magnoliopsida; Malpighiales; Euphorbiaceae
Source: RNAcentral